GGUGCAGAACGCGCUCGGGUAGGAGCUGGGAUCGGGAUCUGGGAUUGGGAACCAAGAGCCAGGAGCUGGGAUUGGGAGCCAAGAGCUGGGAUUGGGAUCUGGGAUCAGGACUGGGAGCUGGGAUCGGGAGCCAAGAGCUGGGAUCGGGAUCUGGGAUUGGGAUCCGGGAGCUGGGAUCAGGAGUGGGAGCUGGGAUUGGGAACCAAGAGCCGGGAGCUGGGAUUGGGAUGUGGGAGCUGGGAUUGGGAUUGGGGUCUGGGAUUGGGAUCCAGGAUCGGAAUUGGGAGCCAAGAUCCGGGAGCUGGGAUCAGGGUCCUGGAGCCAGGAUCUGGAAGUUGGAAUCUGGGAUUGGGAUCCAGGAGCCAGGAUUGGGAUCUGGGAUUAGGAUGUGGCAUCAGGAUCCAGGAUUGAGAUCAGGGAACUGGGAUUUGGGUUCCAGGAGCCAGAAUUGGGAUCUGGGAUCAGGAUCUGGAUCUGAGAUCCAGGAUCAGGAUCCAAGAGCCGGGAUUGGGAUCUGGAACUGGGAUUUGGGAUCCAGGAGCCAGAAUUGGGAUCUGGGAUCAGGAUCAGGAUCCAGGAUUGGGAUCUGGGAUCCGGGAUUGGAAUCUGGGAUUGGGAUUUGGGAUGUGCUGGAGCCAGGCCGCGCUGUGAUCCUGCUGGGUCCCAGCCGGGUCUAA
This 677-nucleotide long non-coding RNA is filed under the name Serinus canaria (Common canary). Its description in RNAcentral is "lncRNA (ENSSCAG00000016603.1)". Lineage: Eukaryota; Metazoa; Chordata; Aves; Passeriformes; Fringillidae. The record is from RNAcentral.